AUAAAAAAAUAAAAUAAAAAAAAUUGUUGAUCCAUUUUGUGGAUGAGAUUAUUGGUAAACUUCAAUGGUAGGAGCAUCAUGAUUUGGGAACUUCAAAUUCAUUGGUUACAAAAACAGAUUAGUUUUCUUUCUUUUGUUAAAUUAGAAGCAUUCGCGUCCAGAUUUUUUUCUAAAUCAUCUUAAUAGUGCAUCAAUCUUGACAUUAACUUUUUCUUUUUUUUAGCUCCUCCGGCCUUGUAGAUCUGAUCAGACACUGCAUUCUUGCUCUAUUUUCUUCAGAAGUCUUGGUUACUAACUGAGAUAUUUCAUUGGAUUCGCUGACUCGCUUUGUCGUUGCUGUAUUACAUUUCCAUUUCUUUCUCUAAUUUCUCCGCCGUCGCUUACUAAUAUGUAGUGAACAAGCCUAUGAAUGUCAUUCCGUUGGAUUUAGAUAAUUGCCUCAGUAUGUUGUAGAGACCAAACACCGAUACAGUAUCGCUUUUUUCCUUACCAUUUUGCUUUUGGUGGAAGCAAAGAGCAGUCAAAAUGAUUAUCAGCAAGCCACUCAUCUUGACAUUCUUGUACCUGUUGAUCUA
Molecule: unclassified non-coding RNA, 575 nt
Filed under: Hevea brasiliensis (rubber tree)
Lineage: Eukaryota; Viridiplantae; Streptophyta; Magnoliopsida; Malpighiales; Euphorbiaceae
Source: RNAcentral